UGGUAGGGGAUGCAGUUGUCGCCGUGGUAGGUGUUGUCGGCGUGGUAGGUAGCGCAGUUUCCGCCGUGGUAGGUGAUGCAGUUGUCGCCGUGGUAGGUGGUGCAGUUGUCGCCGUGGUAGGUGGCGCAGUUGUCGCCGUGGUAGGUGGUGUUGCCGUGGUAGGUGGUGCAGUUGUCGCCGUGGUAGGUGGUGCAGUUGUCGGCGUGGUAGGUGGUGCAGUUGUCGCCGUGGUAGGUGGUGCAGUUGUCGCCGUGGUAGGUGGUGCAGUUGUCGCCGUGGUAGUUGGUGCAGUUGUCGCCGUGGUAGGUGGCGCAGUUGUCGCCGUGGUAGGUGGCGCGGUUGCCGGCGUGGUAGGUGGUGCAGUUGU
This 367-nucleotide long non-coding RNA is filed under the name Salmo salar (Atlantic salmon). RNAcentral describes it as "lncRNA (ENSSSAG00000110415.1)". Lineage: Eukaryota; Metazoa; Chordata; Actinopteri; Salmoniformes; Salmonidae. The record is from RNAcentral.